GAAUCUUGCGCAAUGGGCGAAAGCCUGACGCAGCGACGCCGCGUGUGGGAUGACGGCCUUCGGGUUGUAAACCACUGUCGGGAGGGACGCAGUUCUGACGGUCCCUCCAAAGGACGCACCGGCUAACUCUGUGCCAGCAGCCGCGGUAAUACAGAGGGUGCGAGCGUUGUCCGGAAUCACUGGGCGUAAAGGGCGCGUAGGCGGGCUGAUAAGUCGGGGGUGAAAUCCUGUGGCUCAACCGCAGGGCUGCCUCCGAGACUGUCGGGCUCGAGCACAGUAGAGGCAGGUGGAAUUCCCGGUGUAGCGGUGGAAUGCGUAGAGAUCGGGAAGAACAUCGGUGGCGAAGGCGGCCUGCUGGGCUGUUGCUGACGCUGAGGCGCGACAGCGUGGGGAGCAAACAGG
RNAcentral lists this ribosomal RNA (402 nucleotides) under uncultured bacterium. RNAcentral's name for it is "bacterial SSU rRNA". It matches the Rfam family "Bacterial small subunit ribosomal RNA", at positions 359 to 776 of the family's 1533-position model. The record is from RNAcentral.